CCAUAGAAAAAGAAGAAGAUUUCUUUGAUGAAAUGGAUGAAAACAGCCAUGAUGAUGGUGGUGUUGCCGAUGAUGAUGCUCUUGAUGAGUAUGAGAUGCUCACUAAGGUAACUGAUACAUCAGCUGCACAAGCAAGGAAGGGAAAAGACAUUCAGGGUAUUCAGUAGGAUAGAUUGAACAUAUCAAGAGAUAGUUACAGAGUUACAAGGCUUGAACAGUAUAAGAAUUAUGAGAAUAUUCUUGCUUCUGGGGAUGCUAUAAAUGAGGUUUCUUUUUUUUUAAUAUUUUUUGUUUUAUCAAACCCUUUUCCUUUGGGAUUAUGGGGGGCAGGGAAAGAUGCAGAAGUAAAUUUUGUUUCUUUGUCUCUCAAGAUUGCAAAAGGUCUGUGAAGGGUGGAAAAUACUAUGACUUUUUCUAUAAUACAAGAAUGGUUAAACCUACCAUCCUUCAUUUUUAGUUGAGAAACUUAGUAUGGGCUACUUCAAAACACGAUGUCUACCUUAUCUCCAAUUACUCGGUCAUGCAUUGGUCAUCAUUAAGUGGCGAUUUGUUGGAGAUAAUAAAUUUUGCUGGACACGUAGCCCUAAGUGAGAAACAUGCUGGAAGUUUGUUGGAAGGAUU
This is a non-coding RNA of Arachis ipaensis, 621 nucleotides long. Lineage: Eukaryota; Viridiplantae; Streptophyta; Magnoliopsida; Fabales; Fabaceae. The record is from RefSeq and is a predicted model, not a curated record.